RNAcentral lists this transfer RNA (55 nucleotides) under Mecistocirrus digitatus. RNAcentral describes it as "tRNA-His". Lineage: Eukaryota; Metazoa; Nematoda; Chromadorea; Rhabditida; Trichostrongylidae. The record is from RNAcentral.
AGCUUUGUAGUUUUUAAAAAAUAUUUAUUUGUGGUAUAAAAGAUAUAAUGGCUAU